Molecule: long non-coding RNA, 221 nt
Filed under: Manihot esculenta (cassava)
Lineage: Eukaryota; Viridiplantae; Streptophyta; Magnoliopsida; Malpighiales; Euphorbiaceae
Description: long non-coding RNA (MESC_LNC012915)
Source: RNAcentral
AUUCUACGUCCCGGCACAGUUGGACUAUGUAGAGGACUAUUGGUGACAAUACCAUCCGAGAUGUGAUUUGCUGUGAUGUGUUGCAUUCCAUGAAAGCAUGAAAUUUUAAUAUAUUGUUUCCACUAUUCUGCUCACUGGGCUUUGUAGCUCACCCCUCUCCCCUAACCCCAGAUGUGCAGGUACAGGGUAGAUCAGAAGGUUAGCCAGAGUUUUGAAGUAUG